CAUCCUCCAAGGCUAAAUACUCCUGACUGACCGAUAGUGAACCAGUACCGUGAGGGAAAGGCGAAAAGAACCCCGGCGAGGGGAGUGAAAAAGAACCUGAAACCGUGUACGUACAAGCAGUGGGAGCACGCUUAGGCGUGUGACUGCGUACCUUUUGUAUAAUGGGUCAGCGACUUAUAUUCUGUAGCAAGGUUAACCGAAUAGGGGAGCCGAAGGGAAACCGAGUCUUAACUGGGCGUUAAGUUGCAGGGUAUAGACCCGAAACCCGGUGAUCUAGCCAUGGGCAGGUUGAAGGUUGGGUAACACUAACUGGAGGACCGAACCGACUAAUGUUGAAAAAUUAGCGGAUGACUUGUGGCUGGGGGUGAAAGGCCAAUCAAACCGGGAGAUAGCUGGUUCUCCCCGAAAGCUAUUUAGGUAGCGCCUCGUGAAUUCAUCUCCGGGGGUAGAGCACUGUUUCGGCAAGGGGGUCAUCCCGACUUACCAACCCGAUGCAAACUGCGAAUACCGGAGAAUGUUAUCACGGGAGACACACGGCGGGUGCUAACGUCCGUCGUGAAGAGGGAAACAACCCAGACCGCCAGCUAAGGUCCCAAAGUCAUGGUUAAGUGGGAAACGAUGUGGGAAGGCCCAGACAGCCAGGAUGUUGGCUUAGAAGCAGCCAUCAUUUAAAGAAAGCGUAAUAGCUCACUGGUCGAGUCGGCCUGCGCGGAAGAUGUAACGGGGCUAAACCAUGCACCGAAGCUGCGGCAGCGACGCUGAUGCGUUGUUGGGUAGGGGAGCGUUCUGUAAGCCUGUGAAGGUGUGCUGUGAGGCAUGCUGGAGGUAUCAGAAGUGCGAAUGCUGACAUAAGUAACGAUAAAGCGGGUGAAAAGCCCGCUCGCCGGAAGACCAAGGGUUCCUGUCCAACGUUAAUCGGGGCAGGGUGAGUCGACCCCUAAGGCGAGGCCGAAAGGCGUAGUCGAUGGGAAACAGGUUAAUAUUCCUGUACUUGGUGUUACUGCGAAGGGGGGACGGAGAAGGCUAUGUUGGCCGGGCGACGGUUGUCCCGGUUUAAGCGUGUAGGCUGGUUUUCCAGGCAAAUCCGGAAAAUCAAGGCUGAGGCGUGAUGACGAGGCACUACGGUGCUGAAGCAACAAAUGCCCUGCUUCCAGGAAAAGCCUCUAAGCAUCAGGUAACAUCAAAUCGUACCCCAAACCGACACAGGUGGUCAGGUAGAGAAUACCAAGGCGCUUGAGAGAACUCGGGUGAAGGAACUAGGCAAAAUGGUGCCGUAACUUCGGGAGAAGGCACGCUGAUAUGUAGGUGAAGUCCCUCGCGGAUGGAGCUGAAAUCAGUCGAAGAUACCAGCUGGCUGCAACUGUUUAUUAAAAACACAGCACUGUGCAAACACGAAAGUGGACGUAUACGGUGUGACGCCUGCCCGGUGCCGGAAGGUUAAUUGAUGGGGUCAGCGCAAGCGAAGCUCUUGAUCGAAGCCCCGGUAAACGGCGGCCGUAACUAUAACGGUCCUAAGGUAGCGAAAUUCCUUGUCGGGUAAGUUCCGACCUGCACGAAUGGCGUAAUGAUGGCCAGGCUGUCUCCACCCGAGACUCAGUGAAAUUGAACUCGCUGUGAAGAUGCAGUGUACCCGCGGCAAGACGGAAAGACCCCGUGAACCUUUACUAUAGCUUGACACUGAACAUUGAGCCUUGAUGUGUAGGAUAGGUGGGAGGCUUUGAAGUGUGGACGCCAGUCUGCAUGGAGCCGGCCUUGAAAUACCACCCUUUAAUGUUUGAUGUUCUAACGUUGACCCGU
RNAcentral lists this ribosomal RNA (1797 nucleotides) under Escherichia coli. RNAcentral's name for it is "partial 23S ribosomal RNA". It matches the Rfam family "Bacterial large subunit ribosomal RNA", at positions 454 to 2236 of the family's 2925-position model. Lineage: Bacteria; Pseudomonadati; Pseudomonadota; Gammaproteobacteria; Enterobacterales; Enterobacteriaceae. The record is from RNAcentral.